Molecule: ribosomal RNA, 99 nt
Filed under: uncultured bacterium
Lineage: Bacteria
Description: partial 16S ribosomal RNA
Rfam family: Bacterial small subunit ribosomal RNA
Source: RNAcentral
CGCCGCGUGGAGGAGUGAAGUAUCUUGGUACGUAAACUACCUUUCGAUGGGGAAGAUAAUAGACGGUACCCAUAGAAGAAGCCCCGGCUAACUUCGUGC